Long non-coding RNA from Thunnus maccoyii (southern bluefin tuna), 430 nucleotides. RefSeq lists it as uncharacterized. The record is from RefSeq and is a predicted model, not a curated record. The transcript has 2 exons. NCBI's taxonomy places the organism in Eukaryota, Metazoa, Chordata, Actinopteri, Scombriformes, Scombridae.
AUUUGCUGCAGGUUGUCAAAGAUCAGCUGUGCUUCUCUGGCCUCAGCUCUGAAGUCCAACCCCUCAUCCCAUCUGAGAUAUCUGAAUCUAGGAGGAAAUGGCCUGAAGGGCUCGGACGUGAAGCGGCUGUCUCGACUUACGAAGAGUCCAGACUGUAGACUGGAGACUCUGAGCUUGGAUUCGGAUUAGUGAUCUCUGUCAGAGUGUGAGUGAACAUCCAGGAGUGUGUGUUGAGAGAGGAUCAGCUGGAUCCUGAUGAUCCAUCUGGACCGGAGUCUGGAUCUGGAUUUUGUCAUCUUCACUUAAGUCUCUUAACUGACUACAAACUGAAAAGUUAUCUCUGGAUUUUGUUGAAUCAGCACUUUACAGAUGUGUUAUACAUGAGCUGUUUGAUGCAGAAAAGAUUAAUAAACAGGCGUUAUAAGUCAGA